Molecule: small RNA, 282 nt
Filed under: Arabidopsis thaliana (thale cress)
Lineage: Eukaryota; Viridiplantae; Streptophyta; Magnoliopsida; Brassicales; Brassicaceae
Description: ATSL234290
Source: RNAcentral
UUCAAAAAUAUUUUUUCUAACAACAUUCUCAACAAUGCAUCAUACACAUAAUUCAUAAAUAACGUUUGUAUUAAACCAACUUAACAGAGGGUAGUUUUGGAUUCUAGAAACCUAAGAAUUUGAUGAUGGAGCUCCUUACGUAAUCUUCACUCUCAGUGAUUUAUUGUAUAAAUAUCAAUUUAAGAGAAUAUAAAUAUCAAUUUAAGAGAAUAACUUACUCAAAUCAUUAAGUAAUCCAAGACUAUUAUAUACUCGUAUUUUGAGUUUGGAUUACAAAAAAAA